Ictalurus punctatus (channel catfish) is the source of this 344-nucleotide long non-coding RNA. The record is from Ensembl. Lineage: Eukaryota; Metazoa; Chordata; Actinopteri; Siluriformes; Ictaluridae.
GUGAGAGGGACAGUGAGGGAGUGAGUGAGUGAGAGGGACAUUGAGUGAGUGAGAGGGACAGUGAGUGAGUGAGUGAGUGAGUGAGAGGGACAGUGAGUGAGUGAGAGGGACAGUGAGUGAUUGAGUGAGUGAGAGGGACAGUGAGGGAGUUGAGUGAGUGAGAGGGACAGUGAGGGAGUGAGUGAGUGAGAGGGACAGUGAGGGAGUGAGUGAGAGGGACAGUGAGGGGAUGUGAGGGACAGUGAGUGAGUGAGUGUGAGGGACAGUGUGAGGGACAGUGAGAGGGACAGUGAGUGAGUGAGGGAGUGAGUGAGUGAGAGGGACAGUGAGAGGGACAGUGAGUG